RNAcentral lists this ribosomal RNA (455 nucleotides) under Planctomycetota bacterium. Its description in RNAcentral is "Planctomycetes bacterium partial 23S ribosomal RNA". It matches the Rfam family "Bacterial large subunit ribosomal RNA", at positions 2467 to 2925 of the family's 2925-position model. Lineage: Bacteria; Pseudomonadati; Planctomycetota. The record is from RNAcentral.
UCCGGGGAUAACAGGCUGAUCUCUCCCAAGAGUUCACAUCGACGGGGAGGUUUGGCACCUCGAUGUCGGCUCAUCACAUCCUGGGGCUGAAGGAGGUCCCAAGGGUUUGGCUGUUCGCCAAUUAAAGCGGUACGUGAGCUGGGUUUAGACCGUCGUGAGACAGGUCGGUCCCUAUCUGGUGUGGGUGUAGGAUGAUUGCGGAGGUUUUCCCCUAGUACGAGAGGAUUGGGGAGGACGACCCUCUGGUGUUCCAGUUAUCACGCUAGUGGUACCGCUGGGUAGCUACGGUCGGAACGGAUAAGCGCUGAAUGCAUCUAAGCGCGAAGCCUUCUCCAAGACGAGUCAUCCCUAUCAGUCCCCUGGAAGACUACCAGGUUGAUAGGCCGGCGGUGUAAGCACAGCAAUGUGUUCAGCUUACCGGUACUAAUCGGACGACUGGCUUAACCACCUUCUUC